AGAGUUUGAUCAUGGCUCAGAUUGAACGCUGGCGGCAUGCCUUACACAUGCAAGUCGAACGGUAACAGGUCUUUCGGGAUGCUGACGAGUGGCGAACGGGUGAGUAAUACAUCGGAACGUGCCUAGUAGUGGGGGAUAACUACUCGAAAGAGUGGCUAAUACCGCAUGAGAUCUAUGGAUGAAAGCAGGGGACCUUCGGGCCUUGUGCUACUAGAGCGGCCGAUGGCAGAUUAGGUAGUUGGUGGGAUAAAAGCUUACCAAGCCUACGAUCUGUAGCUGGUCUGAGAGGACGAUCAGCCACACUGGGACUGAGACACGGCCCAGACUCCUACGGGAGGCAGCAGUGGGGAAUUUUGGACAAUGGGCGCAAGCCUGAUCCAGCAAUGGCCGCGUGCAGGAUGAAGGCCUUCGGGUUGUAAACUGCUUUUGUACGGAACGAAAAGUCUUGGGUUAAUACCCUGGGAUCAUGACGGUACCGUAAGAAUAAGCACCGGCUAACUACGUGCCAGCAGCCGCGGUAAUACGUAGGGUGCAAGCGUUAAUCGGAAUUACUGGGCGUAAAGCGUGCGCAGGCGGUUUUGUAAGACAGUGGUGAAAUCCCCGGGCUCAACCUGGGAACUGCCAUUGUGACUGCAAGGCUGGAGUGCGGCAGAGGGGGAUGGAAUUCCGCGUGUAGCAGUGAAAUGCGUAGAUAUGCGGAGGAACACCGAUGGCG
RNAcentral lists this ribosomal RNA (715 nucleotides) under uncultured bacterium. RNAcentral describes it as "bacterial SSU rRNA". It matches the Rfam family "Bacterial small subunit ribosomal RNA", at positions 8 to 717 of the family's 1533-position model. The record is from RNAcentral.